AAUCAACGCUGGCGGCGUGCCUCAGACAUGCAAGUCGAACGAUUAAAGCUCUCUUCGGAGAGUGUAUAGAGUGGCGCACGGGUGAGUAACACGUAAGUAAUCUGCCUUUGAGUGGGGAAUAACCCGGGGAAACCCGAGCUAAUACCGCAUAAUGCAGCGGCACCGCAAGGUGACAGUUGUUAAAGCGAGUAAUCGCGCUUAAAGAGGAGCUUGCGGCAGAUUAGCUAGUUGGUAAGUAACGGCUUACCAAGGCUACGAUCUGUAUCCGGUCUAAGAGGACGGUCGGACACACUGACACUGAAUAACGGGUC
RNAcentral lists this ribosomal RNA (311 nucleotides) under uncultured bacterium. RNAcentral describes it as "bacterial SSU rRNA". It matches the Rfam family "Bacterial small subunit ribosomal RNA", at positions 32 to 332 of the family's 1533-position model. The record is from RNAcentral.